Molecule: ribosomal RNA, 120 nt
Filed under: uncultured bacterium
Lineage: Bacteria
Description: partial 16S ribosomal RNA
Rfam family: Bacterial small subunit ribosomal RNA
Source: RNAcentral
CACACAGUAAACGAUGAAUACUAGCUGUUUGCGAUAUAUUGUAAGCGGCCGAGCGAAAGCAUUAAGUAUUCCACCUGGGGAGUACGUCGGCAACGAUGAAACUCAAAGGAAUUGACGGGG